GACGAACCGUGCGAACGUUGUUCGGAAUCACUGGGCUUAAAGGGUGCGUAGGCGGGCCAUCAAGUCCGGGGUGAAAUCCUCCAGCUUAACUGGAGAAUAGCCCUGGAUACUGGUGGUCUCGAGUGAGGUAGGGGCAGCUGGAACUUCCGGUGGAGCGGUGAAAUGCGCAGAUAUCAGGAGGAACACCGGUGGCGAAGGCGGGUCUCUGGGCCGAUACUGACGCUGAGGAGCGAAAGCGUGGGGAGCGAACAGG
Molecule: ribosomal RNA, 253 nt
Filed under: uncultured bacterium
Lineage: Bacteria
Description: partial 16S ribosomal RNA
Rfam family: Bacterial small subunit ribosomal RNA
Source: RNAcentral